GUGUUGUCUUUCUUUGGUGUAUUGAUUCCAACCAGCUUAAGAAUCUUAGAAUCACUCCUGCAGUCAUUGCAAAGCAUAACACAGUUCAGGUGCAAGACGGACAAGACGUGAUCGUAUCGUUGUAGAACGAUGAGAACGAAACACAACAAUUAGGAUUUUUUCUGGCCAAAAACUGAGAAUGGAGGACUGUAAUGAACGUGUUCUUACUCAGAGCUUGAGUUUUGCGACGGCGGUCGGGUGUGAGGAAGGUGGUGGAAGGCACGACCUUGG
This is a long non-coding RNA of Cucurbita moschata (crookneck pumpkin), 270 nucleotides long. RefSeq lists it as uncharacterized. Lineage: Eukaryota; Viridiplantae; Streptophyta; Magnoliopsida; Cucurbitales; Cucurbitaceae. The transcript has 3 exons. The record is from RefSeq and is a predicted model, not a curated record.